This 490-nucleotide ribosomal RNA is filed under the name uncultured bacterium. Its description in RNAcentral is "partial 16S ribosomal RNA". It matches the Rfam family "Bacterial small subunit ribosomal RNA", at positions 30 to 507 of the family's 1533-position model. The record is from RNAcentral.
AUUGAACGCUGGCGGCAGGCCUAACACAUGCAAGUCGAACGGUAACAGGAAGCAGCUUGCUGCUUUGCUGACGCGUGGCGGACGGGUGAGUAAUGUCUGGGAAACUGCCCGAUGGAGGGGGAUAACUACUGGAAACGGUAGCUAAUACCGCAUAACGUCGCAAGACCAAAGAGGGGGACCUUAGGGCCUCUUGCCAUCUGAUGUGCCCAGAUGGGAUUAGCUAGUAGGUGGGGUAACGGCUCACCUAGGCGACGAUCCCUAGCUGGUCUGAGAGGAUGACCAGCCACACUGGAACUGAGACACGGUCCAGACUCCUACGGGAGGCAGCAGUGGGGAAUAUUGCACAAUGGGCGCAAGCCUGAUGCAGCCAUGCCGCGUGUAUGAAGAAGGCCUUCGGGUUGUAAAGUACUUUCAGCGGGGAGGAAGGGAGGAAAGUUAAUACCUUUGCGAAUUGACGUUACCCGAAGAAGAAGCACCGGCUAACUCCGUG